Molecule: ribosomal RNA, 38 nt
Filed under: Calonectria kyotensis
Lineage: Eukaryota; Fungi; Ascomycota; Sordariomycetes; Hypocreales; Nectriaceae
Description: partial 28S ribosomal RNA
Source: RNAcentral
GUUGACCUCGAAUCAGGUAGGACUACCCGCUGAACUUA